RNAcentral lists this ribosomal RNA (254 nucleotides) under uncultured bacterium. RNAcentral describes it as "partial 16S ribosomal RNA". It matches the Rfam family "Bacterial small subunit ribosomal RNA", at positions 526 to 779 of the family's 1533-position model. The record is from RNAcentral.
CGUAGGUGGCAAGCGUUGUCCGGAUUUAUUGGGCGUAAAGCGAGCGCAGGCGGUCAAUUAAGUCUGAUGUGAAAGCCCCCGGCUCAACCGGGGAGGGUCAUUGGAAACUGGUUGACUUGAGUGCAGAAGAGGAGAGUGGAAUUCCAUGUGUAGCGGUGAAAUGCGUAGAUAUAUGGAGGAACACCAGUGGCGAAGGCGACUCUCUGGUCUGUAACUGACGCUGAGGCUCGAAAGCGUGGGUAGCAAACAGGAUU